Molecule: long non-coding RNA, 1721 nt
Organism: Numida meleagris (helmeted guineafowl)
Lineage: Eukaryota; Metazoa; Chordata; Aves; Galliformes; Numididae
Exons: 5
Source: RefSeq, a predicted model, not a curated record
GGGGAGGAUAGCUUGUUGUAGAUCUCUGUGUACUUGAGGCCUUCCCAAGAGCACUAUGUGUUAACAGAAAUACUGGUAAGAAAAGCUGCUGCCUAGGAGAAACAGCAAUAAACUGCAGCGUCAACAAACAAAGUCUAACUGCUGAAAAGAAGUUCACCUACAGUCAAGUUAUAAAGACUGAAGACAGCAAGUUUUACCGAACAUGAGGAGUCUGCCAGAAAGGAACAAAAAUUAUGUGGCUACUUCAGGCAUUGUGUGUUUUUUUUCCCUCAUGCCCUGGAAAGAGAUGUUGCUGAAUGACUCUGGAAGAUAUACCAUUAAAGCAAACAAGGCAAAAACAAUUGUAACACUGGAAGGACAUGCUUCUGUCUUCUGCUUCUGUCAGUGAAAUUUUAUAAAACAGCAGGAAUGUUAGGCUUUAUUAAUGCAUAUGGUCAAGCACACAAAACUGCUGAAGAUUUCCUUAUCUUUUAUUUUAUAUGAUACAUGCAAGAUAUGAUUAGAUAUGUGAAAUAACAGGAACAUUUUCUAAUGUUUGAAGCCAAUUAGAAAAAUAUUUCUUGCCUUUCAUUUUGAUAUCACAGGUUUCAAAAUGAGAAUUUUUCCAUUAUUAUCAGCUUUACAGGUCAUGCAGGUAACUGAAAUAGCGAACUGGAACACUGCCAAUGCAUUAAGAAUCUUUUCUUAUGAGUAUGGCUUCUGUGUUACUGCACUGAAGUUUUAUACGGGGAAACUAAUAUAAAUUGAAUAAUCAAAAUGAUACUAUUUCACAGUGCGCUGAUACUUUACCUAUUUCCCCCAGUCACGUAGGCUAGGCAUAGGGACUCAUUUCUAAUGAAUCUGAAGGUUACUAGGUUGGCCACAAAUGUAACAUGUUAGAACUGUGGCUACCUUAGCAUCUCGUUGGUGAGAGGAACAAAAAUUAUAAAGAUGUAAAGGAAAAUUGACACGCUGUAGAAUCUAAACUAAUUGCUGUUGUUUUUUUAAGGACAAAAAAGAACAACGUGAGUAAUUGGAGAAAAAUGACAGCAGAAUUAAAAAGCUGAAAUGAGAUAUGAAAACAGUAAUCCUAAAAGCAAAAUGUUUGUGUUUUGUAUGUUAAAGCAAUAUAUCAUGUAGGAAGUAAUGCUGGAUAACUGGAGAAAGUAGACAUUAAAAAUAAACUAGCUAUCUAGUGAGAUCAAUUCCUGGGGAAAAAGAAAAGGAACAAGCUCACCUACAAAUCUAUGAACAUGAAAAAUCUAGGACAAAAAAUAAUCACCCAGAAAAGUGUUACUCUGAAGAUUUAAAAUGGGUUUUGAAAUUCAGAGCAGUCAUCUUUGCAAUGUUACUUAAUAAGCAUAGGUCAUUCCAGAUACCACUUCUCAAAACAAUGCGGUACUGUGGUAGAAUAUGUUGUAAUAUGGAAAAGUGUUGUCAGCAAGUAAACACUGGUAACAGAACUUACUAAGUGGUAAUAGAGUUAAAUGUUGAGGGCAAACAUAAGCUACCUGAAAAUGAAAACCUUUCAAUAGACAGGAAUAAUAUAUAGGGACUGACUAUAGGAAGUGGCAGAAGGCUCCAGAAUGAAGUAUUAAGAACCCAACUGAAUAAAACAUCAGGAUGAUGUACUCUGUACCACCACCUGAUAUACACUGGGGAGAGGGGAGCAUGUCCUCAGGCCUCAACUGUUUCUGAUUUCUUCAACUUUGUUUAAAGUUUGCAGAGAGCACCUACCAUUU